AUGUCGCACCUGAGCAUCCUGACCUUCAAGUACAACCUAGCGAAGCUCCGGUUCAAGCCCUCCCGUCCGGCCGGACGGCUGCUGUCCGCCAGGGACCGGCAGCAGUCCGACCUGAUGAUGUACAAGCCUGACGAGGAGGAGAUGGCCAAGGUGUUCGACAAGAUUGCCGGUGAGCCUGGCCGGAUCUCAAGGAGCGACCUCCAGGCCCUCCUGCAGAGGUUCGACAAGGCGGACGCCGUGGGCGAGGCGCGGCGGAUGGUCUGCGCCGCCGACAGCAACAAGGAUGGGUACAUGGACCUGGAGGAGUUCAUGGAGGUGCACAGGAACGGCGUCCAGCUGGGCGACAUACGCCGAGCCUUCUUCGUGUUCGACAGGGACAGGGACGGCAGGAUCACCGCGGAGGAGGUGAUGGACGUCCUGCGCAGGCUCGGGGACAGCUGCAGCCUCGAGGACUGCCGGAAGAUGGUGAAGGAGAUCGACAGGAACCAUGAUGGGUUCGUGGACAUGGAUGACUUCAUGGUCAUGAUGACACGCCCGAGGAAGAGGAUGUAA
Molecule: ribosomal RNA, 552 nt
Filed under: Triticum aestivum (bread wheat)
Lineage: Eukaryota; Viridiplantae; Streptophyta; Magnoliopsida; Poales; Poaceae
Description: partial small subunit ribosomal RNA
Source: RNAcentral